UACGUAGGGGGCAAGCGUUAUCCGGAUUUACUGGGUGUAAAGGGAGCGUAGACGGCAGUGCAAGUCUGGAGUGAAAGGCGGGGGCUCAACCCCCGGACUGCUCUGGAAACUGUACGGCUGGAGUGCAGGAGAGGUAAGUGGAAUUCCUAGUGUAGCGGUGAAAUGCGUAGAUAUUAGGAGGAACACCAGUGGCGAAGGCAGCUUACCAAGCUACUUCUGACGUUGAGGCACGAAAGCGUGGGGAGCAAACAGG
Molecule: ribosomal RNA, 253 nt
Filed under: uncultured Eubacteriales bacterium
Lineage: Bacteria; Bacillati; Bacillota; Clostridia; Eubacteriales
Description: uncultured Clostridiales bacterium partial 16S ribosomal RNA
Rfam family: Bacterial small subunit ribosomal RNA
Source: RNAcentral